AUUGAACGCUGGCGGCAUGCUUUACACAUGCCAGUCGAACGGCAGCGCGGGCUUCGGCCUGGCGGCGAGUGGCGGACGGGUGAGUAAUGCAUCGGAACGUGCCCAGUAGUGGGGGAUAGCCCGGCGAAAGCCGGAUUAAUACCGCAUACGACCUGAGGGUGAAAGCGGGGGACCGAAAGGCCUCGCGCUAUUGGAGCGGCCGAUGUCGGAUUAGCUAGUUGGUGGGGUAAAGGCUUACCAAGGCGACGAUCCGUAGCUGGUCUGAGAGGACGACCAGCCAAACUGGGACUGAAACACGGCCCAGACUCCUACGGGAGGCAGCAGUGGGGAAGUUUGGACAAUGGGGGCAACCCUGAUCCAGCCAUGCCGCGUGCGGGAAGGAGGCCUUCGGGUUGGAAAGCGGUUUUGGUCGGGAAGAAAACCUCUGGGCUAAUACCCCGGGGGGAUGACGGUACCGGAAGAAUAAGCACCGGCUAACUACGUG
Molecule: ribosomal RNA, 484 nt
Filed under: uncultured bacterium
Lineage: Bacteria
Description: partial 16S ribosomal RNA
Rfam family: Bacterial small subunit ribosomal RNA
Source: RNAcentral